This is a long non-coding RNA of Mesocricetus auratus (golden hamster), 881 nucleotides long. RefSeq lists it as uncharacterized. NCBI's taxonomy places the organism in Eukaryota, Metazoa, Chordata, Mammalia, Rodentia, Cricetidae. The record is from RefSeq and is a predicted model, not a curated record. The transcript is spliced from 3 exons.
AUCUUGGAAUGAGGUUGAUGCUGCCAGCCUCGGAGAAAAUGAACUGGUGAUCUUUUCAGAUUGUCCGUUGCUAGCUUUGGGAGUUCAAAUCCCACAAAACAAGUGGUCUGUGUGUCUUAGUUACUUUCCUCUUACUGCAACUAAACACCCAACCGAAGCAGCCAAGGAAGAGUGAUUUUGGCUCAGAGUUUUUAGGACCCCCAGCCCAUGGAAUGGUGUCACCCACAUUUAGGAGGCUGUCCAAGAAGGCACAUGUUACAAAAGCAAUGCACCUGCUCCAGGAACAGGAAGGGACAAGGAUCCCCUCCAUGGAUGAUCUAAUGGCAGAGGGGACAAAAGGCAUCACUCGAGGACCCCUCCCCCCACUCCGUGUUCACUGUGUAUCCCAGGAAGUUCUAGCUUUGUCAAGGACUCUCUUAAAGGAACACAUACUUGGGAACACACAUUAAGCAAAAGUGAAUGUGUGAAUGUUUGGUUGGAACUGUAUCCACAUCAGCCAUGAUUUCAGUUAUUACAAGGGAUCAGCAGCCAAGGUGAAUAGAGCCCACUGGGUAGGAAUCCUGGUUCUAUCAGAACUCUGCUUGAACUUUUAACUAGAAAUAACAGGCCCACAGCAAACCUUCUGCAACCAAGCUUCCUCGUGUGGCAAAGGCCAAGCAUCCCCCCCCCCCAGCAGCCUGUCUUCCUGCUCUCCUUUUAACAGGCUUGCUGCGAAUAUUGACUGUUCCCCUUGCCAUUCCCUCAUCAGUGACCAGUCUUAUCUUCCCACCCUGAGAACAUAACCAUUAGAACUCAUUUCUUGAGAGUGCAUUUCACUGAAGGAACAUUGGAAAGAUCUGAUGAAAUGCCAUGUUGAUUGUUAUUAAAUUGUGAAUUGUGAA